This 301-nucleotide ribosomal RNA is filed under the name uncultured bacterium. RNAcentral describes it as "partial 16S ribosomal RNA". It matches the Rfam family "Bacterial small subunit ribosomal RNA", at positions 509 to 807 of the family's 1533-position model. The record is from RNAcentral.
CAGCCGCCGCGGUAAUACGAAGGGUGCAAGCGUUACUCGGAAUUACUGGGCGUAAAGCGUGCGUAGGUGGUGGUUUAAGUCUGCUGUGAAAGCCCUGGGCUCAACCUGGGAAUUGCAGUGGAUACUGGGUCACUAGAGUGCGGUAGAGGGUAGUGGAAUUUCCGGUGUAGCAGUGAAAUGCGUAGAGAUCGGAAGGAACAUCUGUGGCGAAGGCGACUACCUGGGCCAGCACUGACACUGAGGCACGAAAGCGUGGGGAGCAAACAGGAUUAGAGACCCCCGUAGUCCCUGUCUCUUAUAC